UACCUAAUUAACUUAAAUUUAAAGCCUGUAGCUCUUAACUACAGUGAAAGUGAAAUAAUUAACCACUAUUAGGUA
RNAcentral lists this transfer RNA (75 nucleotides) under Amphiura digitula. RNAcentral's name for it is "tRNA-Lys". The record is from RNAcentral. Lineage: Eukaryota; Metazoa; Echinodermata; Ophiuroidea; Amphilepidida; Amphiuridae.